UACGGGGGGGGCAAGCGUUGUUCGGAUUUACUGGGCGUAAAGGGCGCGUAGGCGGCGCGACAAGUCACUUGUGAAAUCUCCGGGCUUAACCCGGAGCGGCCAAGUGAUACUGUCGUGCUGGAGUGCGGAAGGGGCCACCGGAAUUCUCGGUGUAGCGGUGAAAUGCGCAGAUAUCAGGAGGAACACCGGUGGCGAAGGCGGGUCUCUGGGCCGAUACUGACGCUGAGGAGCGAAAGCGUGGGGAGCGAACAGG
This 253-nucleotide ribosomal RNA is filed under the name uncultured bacterium. RNAcentral's name for it is "partial 16S ribosomal RNA". It matches the Rfam family "Bacterial small subunit ribosomal RNA", at positions 524 to 776 of the family's 1533-position model. The record is from RNAcentral.